AUUGAACGCUGGCGGCAGGCUUAACACAUGCAAGUCGAGCGGAGAGAGGUAGCUUGCUACUGAUCUUAGCGGCGGACGGGUGAGUAAUGCUUAGGAAUCUGCCUUUUAGUGGGGGACAACAUUUCGAAAGGAAUGCUAAUACCGCAUACGUCCUACGGGAGAAAGCAGGGGAUCUUCGGACCUUGCGCUAAUAGAUGAGCCUAAGUCGGAUUAGCUAGUUGGUGGGGUAAAGGCCUACCAAGGCGACGAUCUGUAGCGGGUCUGAGAGGAUGAACCGCCACACUGGGACUGAGACACGGCCCAGACUCCUACGGGAGGUAGCAGUGGGGAAUAUUGGACAAUGGGCGGAAGCCUGAUCCAGCCAUACCGCGUGUGUGAAGAAGGCCUUAUGGUUGUAAAGCACUUUAAGCGAGGAGGAGGCUACUUUAGUUAAUACCUAGAGAUAGUGGACGUUACUCGCAGAAUAAGCACCGGCUAACUCUGUGCCAGCCGCCGCCGUAA
RNAcentral lists this ribosomal RNA (501 nucleotides) under uncultured bacterium. RNAcentral describes it as "partial 16S ribosomal RNA". It matches the Rfam family "Bacterial small subunit ribosomal RNA", at positions 30 to 523 of the family's 1533-position model. The record is from RNAcentral.